Long non-coding RNA from Colossoma macropomum (tambaqui), 893 nucleotides. RefSeq lists it as uncharacterized. The record is from RefSeq and is a predicted model, not a curated record. Lineage: Eukaryota; Metazoa; Chordata; Actinopteri; Characiformes; Serrasalmidae. The transcript is spliced from 7 exons.
AGGAUGCAUCUCUCCAGAGCCAUUCAUCGGCACCCUCUCCACCAGGGUCACUGCAUGGGCCUCAGCCUGAGCCAGAGAGCUCUAGCCAGAGUGAUGCUGAGCUAAACAUAUACAGACUCUCAUCAAUUCUAGCUACCUUGUCAGCAGUUUUAUUUUUCAGUAAGUAGUACUGUAUAUUUGACAUUACAGGCCACUGGAGAUUUGGCAUCACCUCUCCAGUCUCCACCACUGACACCCUCUCCUCUCCCGAGCCUCAAGUACACCCACCUUCCUCCACCCAGAGUGCUCCUGAGUAACUACUUUGCAUUGCGCCAGGCUUUCACUAUUGUUCUGAGCAACAGCCAUCACGCGAAAUAUGCCGUCAUAGCAGGCAGGGCCCUCCUUGGUGGACUGGCUGACCAAAAUGCUAGGGAUCUUGAGGUGUUCCAUGAGGCAUAUGGUCACCUGGUAGUCUUUGCUGUGGAUGUUUCACAUCGUGAAGCUAUUUGCUCUGAGCUGGCGCAGAUUGGGAUCCAGCACUUCAUCUUCAUGGACGUUGUCUAUGAGUUGGUGCUGAUGGGAGUGCUGCAGGGAGCGAGGCCUCUGAUCUGUCCAACACCAGGGGGUUCCUUGGGUACCUGAUGGAGAUGAUUUUUGUCUUUCAGUCCUGUCAGACCCAGGGCUGAACAGUACUUGUUCCUGCUCCAGGAUGAGGCAAUGCUCCCGUUGAAGGACAUCUUUCGUGAGAAGGAACAUGUUUAUAUGGACUCUGGAUCCCUGGCCCUCGCUCUGUGGGACUGUCUGGAGAAACGUGUCCAUUGGCUGUCGGCAUUUAACAUCUAUGCCUUCCUUCACAAACACCAUUUUUAGUUUAAAUUUUAUAUUUUCAUCAGUGUAAUAUUUGUAAAUUUCUG